AAAUUUCCAGAAUUGGAUUCCGACCCCGAUAUCAAAAAGUCAACUCCCCGGUCAAAUUUCCAAACUUAACUUUCUAUUUUAGCCAUUUCAAGCUAAAUUCUACUACGGACUUUCAAAUAAUUUUUCGGACAUGCUCCUAAGUCCAAAAUCACCAUACGGAGCUAUUGGAAUCAUCAAAACUCUAUUCUGGGAUCGUUUAUACAUAAGUCAAUAUCCGGUCAACUAUUUCAACUUAAGCUUCCAACAUGAAAUUCAUUCUUCUAAGCUAACUCUGAAAUACCUUAAAACUAAAACCGACAAUUCACACAAGUCAUAAUACCUCGUAGGAAAUUAUCCAAAACUUCAAAUAGUUUAAAGAAGCGUAAAUGCUCAAAAUGACCGUUCGGGUCGUUACAAUACCUAAGGAAGUGGCUUUUUUCGUUCGACCCCACGAUCUAUAGCCACAUUACCAAUAUCGCUAAGCGCUUUCCUAUUUCUCCCUUCUGCUGCCAUAUUCUUUUUCUACGUUACUGCCCCAGGGACUGCCUCACCUGAACAAUAUAAAAGUCUAUCUAUAUUAGCAGUAUCAAAUAAAAUACAAUUAACAUUCAAUACAUAGUAUAAUAUUUAUAGAAUUGAUUAUGUAAUAUCAUAUACUGAACCAUCUUUCAUCAAUAUUUCAAGAGGUUCACCCAAUAAAGAUGGAUGGUGCACAAAGUGUAUCGACUUAGUAUCAAACAAAAUACCACAAACAUUCAAUAAUAUUUAGAGAAUAAUUAUAUGUAACAUCAUUUGGCAUGAUAGAUGGUUCACCCUAUAAGAAAUGUUUAUGUCCCUGAAAGUUUACUGAGAGACCUAUCCAAAAACUAAUAGGCCACCGCUUCUUUCAUCAGUUUAAUUUUAACACAACUAUUUUAUUUUUUUGUUAAAAGGUAAAGAAACAACAUAUAAUGAUUGAAUGUGCAUCAUUUACGAAAAACUAUACCACAAACAGCCAAAUAGGUCGAUUGGUUCACAUAGGUAUCCAACCAACAGAGAAAGUAUGGAAGAAAAUCAAAUACUGAAGACUGUAAGAGCUGAAAUUAAUAAGUAAACAUAUUAUAAUUUAUGUAGUUCCUGAAUGACAUACCAUUGCUAUAAAUUUGGUGUAAAAAAAGACUGUAAUACUUCUUCAGGCUAUCAUGGUGCACUUCCAGAUCAGAAAAUUUCAUCUACAUAUCUUUAGACAGCAGGUUUUAGAAAUGGUCCAAGCGCCAAAGUUCUUUAAAUGAGCGUUAAUAUUCUCCAGUGAUUGGUGCUUUCCUACUAAUGAGGCAGUCCCUUGACUCUUCGCUUCACCUUUUAGAAUGCUCAACGAAGGAGGCAUUAAAUAUUCUAUAAAAUCAUUGGGGCAAAGUAGGCGAAAAGAGGUCAUUACAAAUUUUCUUUAGAAUUCGCAAAAUAAUAAACAAAAACAUAUUUAAUGUUCCAUCUCUAAUAAAUGGUUUAAUACAAAAAUAAAUUGCAUCAAUUCUCGAAUAUAGAACCAAUGUAACAGAGAAAAUGGGCAAAAUAUAACCAACAAUGACAAGCCCUACAAAGAAUUACAUUAAGUAAAAGACAGUGUUUGAAGGAAUUAGUAAUACAAUAAUUCUAGAUUAAUUAAUACAAAUCUUUAUAUUACUAUACUUGAAUACUUGAAUUUAUACUAACAUUAAUUUGUAGUAAUAUUAUUUUUUAAUGUUAGAGUUGAAAGAAUUAGUAAGUGGAAGAAACAACUCCAGAUUUAAAACUUAAUCACACCAAAAACAGAGAACGUAUAACGAAUUAGCAACACACAAAAAAAUCAAAGUAACUAAUACUAAUUUAUAUUAUAGAAGCUAUUGAGCUUUGUGGCUGCGUCGUCGACAAAGCAAACAUACCUUCAUAAACAAAUAUCAAACAUAGCAGCAUCAGUUAGUAGGAGAGAAAUAAUAUGCUUAUAAUAUACCAAAUCAUCUAUGAUAACAUGGUUCAGUGAACUUACAAUGAAAACGACUGAAUAGCUUAUAUCAAGAAUUUCCGCUUGAUGUGCACAAAGGAGAAAGAUUUAGUGAUUGUUAAAGUAGAACUUGAUUUCAAAAGGCAUUGAAAUCAUGUUACUAAGAAUACCCUAGAAGAAUUGGUGGGUUAGGAGUUAGAAAUCGUGGCGUGGGAUCGUGGGAUCGUGGGAUUGAAGCGCCAUCGUGGGAAUGGAAGUCGAAA
Molecule: long non-coding RNA, 2202 nt
Filed under: Nicotiana tabacum (common tobacco)
Lineage: Eukaryota; Viridiplantae; Streptophyta; Magnoliopsida; Solanales; Solanaceae
Description: long non-coding RNA (NTAB_LNC014342)
Source: RNAcentral